GAUGAACGCUGGCGGUAUGCUUAACACAUGCAAGUCGAACGGACUCUUCGGAGUUAGUGGCGGACGGGUGAGUAACGCGUGAGAAUCUGGCUUUGGGUUCGGGACAACCACUGGAAACGGUGGCUAAUACCGGAUGUGCCGAGAGGUAAAAGAGAAAUUGCCUGAAGAUGAGCUCGCGUCUGAUUAGCUAGUUGGUGAGGUAAAGGCUCACCAAGGCAGCGAUCAGUAGCUGGUCUGAGAGGAUGACCAGCCACACUGGGACUGAGACACGGCCCAGACUCCUACGGGAGGCGGCAGUGGGGAAUUUUCCGCAAUGGGCGAAAGCCUGACGGAGCAAUACCGCGUGAGGGAAGAAGGCUCUUGGGUUGUAAACCUCUUUUCCUAGGGAAGAACAAAAUGACGGUACCUAAGGAAUCAGCAUCGGCUAACUCCGUG
This 435-nucleotide ribosomal RNA is filed under the name uncultured bacterium. RNAcentral describes it as "partial 16S ribosomal RNA". It matches the Rfam family "Bacterial small subunit ribosomal RNA", at positions 28 to 507 of the family's 1533-position model. The record is from RNAcentral.